Musa acuminata AAA Group (dessert banana) is the source of this 3047-nucleotide RNA transcript. It is a transcript of the gene named probable sarcosine oxidase, with no coding region annotated. Lineage: Eukaryota; Viridiplantae; Streptophyta; Magnoliopsida; Zingiberales; Musaceae. The record is from RefSeq and is a predicted model, not a curated record. The transcript has 4 exons.
UUAAAAAAGGUGAAGAAAAAAAGAGCUGCGAGAGAGAGAGAGAGGUGAGUCAGAGAACGAAAAGACGACUGUUUCUGCUCGAUCUAAUCCCGACUCAGCGCGAAGUGGAGAGAGAAGGGGUGGAGGAGGAGGAGGAAGAAGAAGAAGAGGGGGAAGCGCGAAGCAAAGAGAAGAAGCGCUCAAACAACCGAGGGAGAGAACAAUCGGAGCUCCGCUCGCCGCCGGCGAAGGCGCCUCGGAGUAGAAUCGAGGCGGUGGAUCCGGCUGCUGCGAGUUUGCGGUGAGGUCAUCUCGAAUCCCCCCUCCCCUCUUCUUCUGCAUGCGUUCUCGUUCCCCCCCAGGAUUGGGUUCUCUUUCCUAUUCGUGUUAUCCGUCUUUCUCUGCUUCUCUCGCCUUGAUCCGCCCGCGGAGGCAAUUGAGGCCCACUUCGCUUAAUUGUGGGUUCUCCGAUCGCGGACCGGGGAGCAGAUCGUCGCCUGCUUCUUUGGUGCGGUUCCGGGUUGCAAUGAGAGCUUCCCGAGCUGGCCGCUGCUAAAUGGGACUUGAUUCUGGUUGUUUCUCGGAUUUUAGGGUUUUCGAUCUCUGUGUGAGAAAAUUCCGGUUUCAGGUUUCCAUCUCUGUGGGCACAGAUUCCUGAUCUUGUGUUGCUUGUGGGGUUCUUCUGUGGAAGAUAAGAUUUCUGCCUGCAUUGGUGUCUCUGAGGGGGGAAUCGUGCAUAGCUUGCUCUCUCUGUAAGAGAAGGUGCAAACGCUGAUAUUGGCUAAAACCCAGAGAUAUAAUAGGAGUGGAGGAAGCUCUUAUAAUCGUUUGCUUUCAUGGUGAUUUAUAUGGCUACUGUUUGUUGAGAGUUGCCGCCGCCACCGAUGCUGCAGCGGCAACCAUCGCUGCCACCACCGAUGUUGCAGCCACAGCCACCGGUGACGAAGCAUUCCCGUACCCACCUUAGUGACUUAAAAUCACAGAUAGCAAAGCGGCUGGGCCAUGAGCGAGCAAAUAACUACUUCAGCUAUCUGAAUGGUUUACUGUCACAGAAGCUAAGCAACCGUGAGUUCAACAAGCUUUGCAUUUUGACACUCGGUCAUGAGAAUCUUCCCUUGCACAAUCAGCUGAUCCGGUCGAUCCUUCAAAAUGCCUGUCAAGAAAAGGCUCCUCCAGUCAAUUAUGGCAAAUUUGCACAAACGUCAACUGUUAUUAUGUCAAAGACAUCUCCUCAAGUAGAUGAUGGACUUGAUUUUUCACAAGCCCGGACACAGUCAGGAAAUUGGUCCAAUGGGGAUAUCUUGCCACGGUCACCGUGCAAGUUUAAGAGUGGUAUUGAUAAUCACAGUAUCUAUGACCACCCUGGUCCUCUUCGACCAAAUGGGAAGGUGGAGGUUGGUUUCCGUGAGAAUGGUGUCAUGAACUCAUGUAAUUUGAAGAGACCAUUGCAGCGACAGCAGGAUGGACCUUGCAAGCUGCCAACAAAGAGAACAAGGAUCGAGGAACCAUCACUGCAUGACCAGGGCUCUGUACAUAACAAGGUUCUUUCUGAAGCAGUUCUCCUAGAACAUGUGGAGGAUGUGGACUGUAAGGGUAGUUUAGACUCCCAUAGACAUCCGCUUCGGGCUCCACUUGGAAUUCCUUUCUCUUUGACGAGCAUUGGCAAGGCAAGAAGGACACUUCUCUCUGCUGGUACCAGUAUCAACGAUGGCUUUUGCAGGAAUUAUGAUUGUAGCGAACUGUACCAUACUGAGGUAUUGAAGAAACGAAUGGAUAAAAUGGCUCAAGCACAGGGCUUAGAAGGAGUAACAAUGGACUGUGCCAACUUGCUGAACAAUGGGUUAGAUGCUUAUUUGAAGAGGUUGAUUAAAUCAUGCGUUGAUCUAGUAGGAGCAGGAACAGAGCAUGUAUCAACAAAACGGGCAGUUCCCAGUCUUCUGCCUUAUGCAAAGCCCAUUAAUGGUGUUUGGGCAAGAAGUAACAUCCAAAGGCAAGGUAGUGUUGGACCUUUGAUAGGCACACAUAUGUUACAUUUGAAGGAUUUUAGGGUAGCAAUGGAGCUAAAUCCACAGCAACUUGGGGGCGAUUGGUCCUUGCUUCUUGAAAAAAUAUGCAUUGACUCGUUUGAGGAAUAGGAAAAAAUCCGAAGAAUCUGGCUUGCAGAAAUCAUAGCACUUGGACGGGCUUAACUUUUAAGGACUGGUCUAUUUUGGAUUUCAAUGGGCAGAUUCAAGAUCCUCAGCUAAAAGAUACACUUUGUGGGUUUCUUUUAGUAUCCACAGAGAAGAAUUCUGUUAAGUUCCUGCUACGGAACACCUCAAACAUUAACAAAUAAUAAAUGUGAGCUUGUCCAAAGGAAGAAACUCUUCUUGUUUGGCCCAUUAUUGUAGGUUAGCAUUCCUGAUGAGGCAUCUCCUUCACAGCAUCACCAUCUGAGGUGUCAAGCUUUUAUAUAAGUGACAUCAUGGAAGACUUAAAGGAAAUUCUGCAGGAAAUUUUUUCUGUAUCUUAUACAAUCAUCAUCUGUUGAUUUCUUGUUCGGAAUCUUUGGGUUACUGAUGUGCAUGAUGUUUUACAAUCUUCCUUAAUCAUAGUGGAUAAUUGAUAUUGGCUGUACGAAUAAUUUGGUGAGAAGAUUCUUAAAAUAAAGAAGGAUGGAAGCUUCCUACUUCAUCCUAAGACGCCAUGUUUCUGCCCCUUCUCCAUCCCCAUCCACGGAAGACCAAAUUCUAUAACAGAAGUUACGAAGGAGCUAGUCUGUUCUGCAUCAGGCAGUGACAGUGAGGAGAAAGCUAUGGAGCAAAGAAAUAAAAAACCAAGGUCAGUUUGUUGGGCACCAUGCCCAAAUAUGACGAAGAGCAAGGGAGUGCAGACUACAGUCCAGCGACCCUUCAUUAUCCUCUACUGCCCAAGAAUCAUCCUGAACUAUAGUCUUCAGUUUCUCCAAAUGCCAAAAUGAUGCAUCCUAUUUGCAUGUUGAUUGUUGCUUCUCACCGAAAUAUGUUCUGCUAUGCUGUUCUCGUUUAAUGUACUUAUUUGGAGGCAUAUACAUUAGGUUUUUGCUUGGA